CUGUUUCUUAAAUAUUUAUUGAAUUUGACUUUUAAGUGAAAAGGCUUAAAUAAAUCAAAAAGACGAUAAGACCCUAUAAAUCUUUACAAUAAAUAUGUUUUAUAUUUUAAUUUAUAAGUGUAUAAGAAAUAAAAUAUAGAUUUGUUUCGCUGGGGCGGCGUAGAUAUAUAAAUAAACUGUCUAUAAUUUAAAUACAGUAAUUAUUGCUUAAUAUAAAUUGAUCCUUAAAUAGAUUAAAAGAUUAAGAUACUUUAGGGAUAACAGCGUUAUUUUUUUUAAGAGUUCUUAUCGAAGAAAAAGUUUGCGACCUCGAUGUUGAAUUAAAGUAUCUCU
RNAcentral lists this ribosomal RNA (333 nucleotides) under Lithodes santolla. Its description in RNAcentral is "partial 16S ribosomal RNA". It matches the Rfam family "Bacterial large subunit ribosomal RNA", at positions 2048 to 2549 of the family's 2925-position model. The record is from RNAcentral. Lineage: Eukaryota; Metazoa; Arthropoda; Malacostraca; Decapoda; Lithodidae.